UAGGUUGAAGCCAGUUGUUUAGGGUAUUUAGCUGUUAACUAAAUUUUCGUAGGUUUAUGUCCUACCAACCUAG
Molecule: transfer RNA, 73 nt
Filed under: Olallamys albicauda (white-tailed Olalla rat)
Lineage: Eukaryota; Metazoa; Chordata; Mammalia; Rodentia; Echimyidae
Description: tRNA-Asn
Source: RNAcentral